GAUGAACGCUGGCGGCGUGCUUAACACAUGCAAGUCGAACGUGAAGAAGCAGCAAUGUUUCUGAAAGUGGCGGACGGGUGAGUAACACGUGGGUGACCUGCCUUGCAGAGGGGGAUAACGAGGGGAAACCUUCGCUAAUACCGCAUAGGCUUACACCGAUGGGAAUGGUGUGGGUAAAACUGAGGUGCUGCAAGAGGGGCCUGCGUCCGAUUAGCUAGUUGGUGAGGUAAUGGCUCACCAAGGCGAUGAUCGGUAGCUGGUCUGAGAGGACGAUCAGCCACACGGGAACUGAGAAACGGUCCCGACUCCUACGGGGGGCAGCAGUGAGGAAUAUUGGGCAAUGGACGAAAGUCUGACCCAGCAACGCCGCGUGGAGGAUGAAGGUUUUUGGAUGUAAACUCCUUUUGUGGGGGAAAGAAUGGAUGGUACCCCAAGAAUAAGUCACGGCUAACUACGUGCCAGCAGCGCGGUAAAGCGUAUGUGU
This 484-nucleotide ribosomal RNA is filed under the name uncultured bacterium. Its description in RNAcentral is "bacterial SSU rRNA". It matches the Rfam family "Bacterial small subunit ribosomal RNA", at positions 28 to 534 of the family's 1533-position model. The record is from RNAcentral.